GAGAAGUGUUACAGACAGAGAUAACUUGUAUCAGUUCUGGAGCAGCGUGGGGGUCUUCUGGUCUCUUUUUAUUUCAAUUUAGGCUCUGUUGUAUUGGUUUCCUAUUGUUCUCAGCAAGCAGUGGCACCGUCUUGUUAUCUUCAAGUGUUUUUCUUUCUCAUAACGUCAUCAGAGAUUUAACAGAAGUGGCCAAUUAUCACCUUGAGUUGUUAAUUUUUUUAUGGCCUCCUGCCCUGUACUUAACCUUCUGGGGAAGAAAAGUGAAAAUUGGCAUCAAUCGUUGAACGUCAGAAGAGCUUGAUUACUGAUUUCGUGGAGACAGAAGAUUGACUUAAAAGGGUCAACCUUUGGAGAGGGAGCCCAACUGAGGUAGAUGACCCCAUAGAAAAAAAAAAGACUGAUUUUCCCAGACAAUUCAGCAAUUUGCUCCUUAACAGCAAGGCAAAUUCGCUGUUCACUACCAUUCUGGGAAAAACCAACUCCAAGAUUCCAUGACAUUUCGCUAAAAUCAGGACUGAUUCUCCAAGAUCUUCACAGUUGUACAUCGUACCUUUGACAGCAUGGUGUGCUUAUGAAAUUCUAGCACAUUUUUUUCCUUUGGGAGCAUUUCUGUGGAUAUUAUGCAGCCCAUCAUCACACCCACUCUUAGUUGACUGUGGUAAUUACUUGUGAAUUUUACAUACCAAACUUUAUUCAUUUUUUUUUUU
RNAcentral lists this long non-coding RNA (707 nucleotides) under Lingula anatina. RNAcentral's name for it is "uncharacterized LOC106157406, transcript variant X2". The record is from RNAcentral. Lineage: Eukaryota; Metazoa; Brachiopoda; Lingulata; Lingulida; Lingulidae.